Molecule: long non-coding RNA, 1342 nt
Organism: Mytilus californianus (California mussel)
Lineage: Eukaryota; Metazoa; Mollusca; Bivalvia; Mytilida; Mytilidae
Exons: 4
Source: RefSeq, a predicted model, not a curated record
GUCUUAGUAGUUUCAGAGGAGAAGAUUUUUGUAAAAGAUUACAAAAAUUUACGAAAAAUGGUUAAAAAUUGACUGUAAAGGGCAAUAACUCCUUAAGGGGUCAACUGACCAUUUUGGUCAAGUUGACUUAUUUGUAGAUCUUACUUUGCUGAACAUUAUUGCUGUUUACAGUUUAUCUCUAUCUAUAAUAAUAUUCAAGAUAAUAACCAAAAACGGCAAAAUUUCCUUAAAAUUACCAAUUCAGGGGCAGCAACCCAACAACGGGUUGUCCGAUUCAUCUGAGAAUUUCAGGGCAGAUAGAUCUUGACCUGAUAAACAAUUUUACCCCAUGUCAGAUUUGCUCUAAAUGCUUUGGUUUCAGAGAUAUGAGCCAAAAUCUACAUGUUACCCCUAUGUUCUAUUUUUAGCCAUGGCGGCCAUCUUGGUUGGUUGGCCGGGUCACCGGACACAUUUUUUAAACUAGAUACCCUAAUGAUGAUUGUGGACAAGUUUGGUUAAAUUUGUCUUAGUAGUUUCAGAGGAGAAGAUUUUUGUAAAAGAUUACAAAAAUUUACGAAAAAUGGUUAAAAAUUGACUAUAAAGGGCAAUAACUCCUUAAGGGGUCAACUGACCAUUUUGGUCAAGUUGACUUAUUUGUAGAUCUUACUUUGCUGAACAUUAUUGCUGUUUACAGUUUAUCUCUAUCUAUAAUAAUAUUCAAGAUAAUAACCAAAAACGGCAAAAUUUCCUUAAAAUUACCAAUUCAGGGGCAGCAACCCAACAACGGGUUGUCCGAUUCAUCUGAGAAUUUCAGGGCAGAUAGAUCUUGACCUGAUAAACAAUUUUACCCCAUGUCAGAUUUGCUCUAAAUGCUUUGGUUUCAGAGAUAUGAGCCAAAAUCUACAUGUUACCCCUAUGUUCUAUUUUUAGCCAUGGCGGCCAUCUUGGUUGGUUGGCCGGGUCACCGGACACAUUUUUUAAACUAGAUACCCUAAUGAUGAUUGUGGACAAGUUUGGUUAAAUUUGUCUUAGUAGUUUCAGAGGAGAAGAUUUUUGUAAAAGAUUACAAAAAUUUACGAAAAAUGGUUAAAAAUUGACUGUAAAGGGCAAUAACUCCUUAAGGGGUCAACUGACCAUUUUGGUCAAGUUGACUUAUUUGUAGAUCUUACUUUGCUGAACAUUAUUGCUGUUUACAGUUUAUCUCUAUCUAUAAUAAUAUUCAAGAUAAUAACCAAAAACGGCAAAAUUUCCUUAAAAUUACCAAUUCAGGGGCAGCAACCCAACAACGGGUUGUCCGAUUCAUCUGAGAAUUUCAGGGCAGAUAGAUCUUGACCUGAUAAACAAUUUUACACCACGUCAGAUU